CCUACGGGGGGCAGCAGUGGGAAACCUCCGCAAUGUGAGAAAUCGCGACGGGGGGAUCCCAAGUGCCAUUCUUAACGGGAUGGCUUUUCAUUAGUGUAAAGAGCUUUUGGAAUAAGAGCUGGGCAAGACCGGUGCCAGCCGCCGCGGUAACACCGGCAGCUCUAGUGGUAGCAGUUUUUAUUGGGCCUAAAGCGUCCGUAGCCGGUUUAAUAAGUCUCUGGUGAAAUCCUGCAGCUUAACUGUGGGAAUUGCUGGAGAUACUAUUAGACUUGAGAUCGGGAGAGGUUAGAGGUACUCCCAGGGUAGAGGUGAAAUUCUGUAAUCCUGGGAGGACCGCCUGUUGCGAAGGCGUCUGACUGGAACGAUUCUGACGGUGAGGGACGAAAGCUAGGGGCGCGAACCGGAUUAGAUACCCGCGUAGUCC
RNAcentral lists this ribosomal RNA (424 nucleotides) under uncultured Methanobrevibacter sp. RNAcentral describes it as "bacterial SSU rRNA". It matches the Rfam family "Archaeal small subunit ribosomal RNA", at positions 322 to 747 of the family's 1478-position model. The record is from RNAcentral. Lineage: Archaea; Methanobacteriati; Methanobacteriota; Methanobacteria; Methanobacteriales; Methanobacteriaceae.